UCCCUGGCGGUCCAGUGGUUAGGACUCCAUGCUUCCGGUGCUGUGGGCCCGGGUUCGAUCCCCGGUUGGGGAA
Molecule: non-coding RNA, 73 nt
Organism: Kogia breviceps (pygmy sperm whale)
Lineage: Eukaryota; Metazoa; Chordata; Mammalia; Artiodactyla; Physeteridae
Source: the annotation of a RefSeq genome assembly